RNAcentral lists this ribosomal RNA (253 nucleotides) under uncultured bacterium. RNAcentral describes it as "partial 16S ribosomal RNA". It matches the Rfam family "Bacterial small subunit ribosomal RNA", at positions 524 to 776 of the family's 1533-position model. The record is from RNAcentral.
UACGUAGGGUGCGAGCGUUAAUCGGAAUUACUGGGCGUAAAGGGCGCGUAGGCGGCCAUGCGUGUCUUCCGUGAAAUCCCUCGGCUUAACUGAGGACGUGCGGAAGAAACUGCAAGGCUCGAGUCCGGGAGAGGGGGGUGGAAUUCCCAGUGUAGCGGUGAAAUGCGUAGAUAUUGGGAGGAACACCGGUGGCGAAGGCGGCUCACUGGCCCGGUACUGACGCUGAGGUGCGAAAGCGUGGGGAGCAAACAGG